Molecule: ribosomal RNA, 254 nt
Filed under: uncultured prokaryote
Description: partial 16S ribosomal RNA
Rfam family: Bacterial small subunit ribosomal RNA
Source: RNAcentral
ACAGAGGUCCCAAGCGUUGUUCGGAUUUACUGGGCGUAAAGGGCGCGUAGGCGGUCAGCACAAGUCAGUUGUGAAAUCUCCGGGCUUAACUCGGAAAGGUCAACUGAUACUGUGCGACUAGAGUGCAGAAGGGGCAACUGGAAUUCUCGGUGUAGCGGUGAAAUGCGUAGAUAUCGAGAGGAACACCUGUGGCGAAGGCGGCCCCCUGGUUGGAUACUGACGCUGAUACGCGAAAGCGUGGGGAGCAAACAGGA